AGAGUUUGAUCAUGGCUCAGAGUGAACGCUGGCGGUAGGCCUAACACAUGCAAGUCGAACGGCAGCACAGAGGAGCUUGCUCCUUGGGUGGCGAGUGGCGGACGGGUGAGGAAUACAUCGGAAUCUACUCUGUCGUGGGGGAUAACGUAGGGAAACUUACGCUAAUACCGCAUACGACCUACGGGUGAAAGCAGGGGAUCUUCGGACCUUGCGCGAUUGAAUGAGCCGAUGUCGGAUUAGCUAGUUGGCGGGGUAAAGGCCCACCAAGGCGACGAUCCGUAGCUGGUCUGAGAGGAUGAUCAGCCACACUGGAACUGAGACACGGUCCAGACUCCUACGGGAGGCAGCAGUGGGGAAUAUUGGACAAUGGGCGCAAGCCUGAUCCAGCCAUACCGCGUGGGUGAAGAAGGCCUUCGGGUUGUAAAGCCCUUUUGUUGGGAAAGAAAUCCAGCCGGCUAAUACCUGGUUGGGAUGACGGUACCCAAAGAGUAAGCACCGGCUAACUUCGUGCCAGCAGCCGCGGUAAUUC
This 529-nucleotide ribosomal RNA is filed under the name Pseudomonas sp. RNAcentral describes it as "bacterial SSU rRNA". It matches the Rfam family "Bacterial small subunit ribosomal RNA", at positions 8 to 526 of the family's 1533-position model. RNAcentral also lists the same sequence under 1 other name. Lineage: Bacteria; Pseudomonadati; Pseudomonadota; Gammaproteobacteria; Pseudomonadales; Pseudomonadaceae. The record is from RNAcentral.